UAGUCCACGCCGUAAACGAUGAUCACUCGACAUUGGCGAUAUACUGUCAGUGUCCAAGCGAAAGUGUUAAGUGAUCCACCUGGGGAGUACGAUCGCAAGAUUGAAACUCAAAGGAAUUGACGGGGGCCCGCACAAGCGGUGGAGCAUGUGGUUUAAUUCGAUGAUACGCGAGGAACCUUACCAGGGCUUAAAUGCAAAACGACAGGCUGGGAAACCAGCCCUUCUUCGGACGGAUUGCAAGGUGCUGCAUGGUUGUCGUCAGCUCGUGCCGUGAGGUGUCGGGUUAAGUCCCAUAACGAGCGCAACCCCUAUCUUUAGUUGCCAGCGGAUAAUGCCGGGGACUCUAAAGAAACUGCCCGCGUAAGCGGUGAGGAAGGUGGGGAUGACGUCAAAUCAUCACGGCCCUUACGUCCUGGGCCACACACGUGCUACAAUGGCAGAUACAAAGGGCAGCUACCUGGUGACAGGAUGCUAAUCUCGAAAGUCUGUCUCAGUUCGGAUU
RNAcentral lists this ribosomal RNA (502 nucleotides) under uncultured bacterium. RNAcentral describes it as "bacterial SSU rRNA". It matches the Rfam family "Bacterial small subunit ribosomal RNA", at positions 791 to 1299 of the family's 1533-position model. The record is from RNAcentral.